Dendrobium catenatum is the source of this 1080-nucleotide long non-coding RNA. RefSeq lists it as uncharacterized. NCBI's taxonomy places the organism in Eukaryota, Viridiplantae, Streptophyta, Magnoliopsida, Asparagales, Orchidaceae. The record is from RefSeq and is a predicted model, not a curated record. The transcript is spliced from 2 exons.
CUGUUUAUGAAACCAAAAAAAAAAAACAGCAUUUUUUAUGGGAAAUAAUUUGGAGUAAUAGGAUAUUUCACAGCUGCCAAACAUGAGAGGAGUUCAGCGGCGACGGCGAGAGGAGGGGAUGCUCGGAAAUCGUAAAUGACUGUGUACCCACCAUCUGCGCGCCUUCUUCUCUCUUUUUCCUUUUGCCUUUACUCUUCUUGUUGUUUCCAUCGCGGCUUCAGCUGCCUACUUUGAGCUACCGUGAGGGUUUGCCGAUAAUGGCGACGGCACUUGUGCCCUUGCGGAGUUGCAGGCGGGAGAUCAGCAACCCCUCCAUCAUCUUCUUCUUCCCUCAAGGUUGUGGCUUGGGUAAUAAGGUCAAGAUAAUCAAUCACAGGUGCCUCUCCAUCCAAAUUUCCUGGAGGUUGAAUGUAUCAUUUCAGAUGAAGCUCCAUCAUCUUCAGAUUCCUCUACAGGUUUUUAGUCAAAUGGAAGAAUUAACCUCUUUUUGACAACACUUGGAUUACUAACAGACCUGAAUAUGCUUGAACCAGAACUAGUGGAUGCCUGGAUGGCUAUCAUAAUUUUAACUUUGUAUAGAUUCAAUGCAACAUGACUUUUCUUUUUGGGAUCACAAGUGCGAGCUAUUAUUCUGUGCAGAUGCCCGGACGGUUCUCCCGUCCGGUUACGCGCUCGGUACUGAGCGCUCUACAUUUUUGAGGCGGCGUGGUGCAUUUUUAUUGGUCUCCGGACGUUUCCGGACGCCGCUCAUAAUAAUUUUUCCACAAGCGCAGUUUCAGUUCAGCUGACUUUUCUUUUUGGGAUCACAAGUGCAGUUUCAGUUCAGCUAACUUUUCUUUUUGAGGGCAAUAAUUAACUAUCCGGCUGAAGUUUUCAAUUAAUUGAGUCAUUUCUUAGACAGUCAUGUUCAAUGCUUUGCCUGUCCCCCACAGCUGUCUGUGCCAGUGCAGCCAAGUUUCCCUGCAUUCACUUUUGUAACAGCUUUAAUUUGAAAGUUUUUUUCUUUUGUUCUUGAUAAUCUAAAGGUUACUGUUUAUCCCACUUGAGAUAUUAACAGUUUACCACCUCAUAUUUUCUCUA